RNAcentral lists this ribosomal RNA (393 nucleotides) under uncultured bacterium. RNAcentral's name for it is "partial 16S ribosomal RNA". It matches the Rfam family "Bacterial small subunit ribosomal RNA", at positions 523 to 918 of the family's 1533-position model. The record is from RNAcentral.
AUACGGAGGAUCCGAGCGUUAUCCGGAUUUAUUGGGUUUAAAGGGAGCGUAGGUGGACAGUUAAGUCAGUUGUGAAAGUUUGCGGCUCAACCGUAAAAUUGCAGUUGAUACUGGCUGUCUUGAGUUCAGUAGAGGUGGGCGGAAUACGUGGCGUAGCGGUGAAAUGCUUAGAUAUCACGAAGAACUCCGAUUGCGAAGGCAGAUCACUGUACUGCAACUGACACUGAAUCUCGAAAGUGUUGGUAUCAAACAGGUAUAGAUAACCUGGUAGUCCACACAGUAAACGAUUAAUACUAGAGAGUUGCGAUAUACAGUAAGCCGCCAAGCGAAAACAUUAAGUAUUCCUCCUGGGGUGUACGCCGGCAACGGUGAAACUAAAAAGAAUUGACGGGG